This 84-nucleotide transfer RNA is filed under the name Streptomyces sp. XY431. Its description in RNAcentral is "tRNA-Met". It matches the Rfam family "tRNA". From Rfam's summary of the family: Transfer RNA (tRNA) molecules are approximately 80 nucleotides in length. Their secondary structure includes four short double-helical elements and three loops (D, anti-codon, and T loops). Further hydrogen bonds mediate the characteristic L-shaped molecular structure. tRNAs have two regions of fundamental functional importance: the anti-codon, which is responsible for specific mRNA codon recognition, and the 3' end, to which the tRNAs corresponding amino acid is attached (by aminoacyl-tRNA synthetases). tRNAs cope with the degeneracy of the genetic code in two manners: having more than one tRNA (with a specific anti-codon) for a particular amino acid; and 'wobble' base-pairing, i.e. permitting non-standard base-pairing at the 3rd anti-codon position. The record is from RNAcentral. Lineage: Bacteria; Bacillati; Actinomycetota; Actinomycetes; Kitasatosporales; Streptomycetaceae.
CGCGGGGUGGAGCAGCUCGGUAGCUCGCUGGGCUCCGCUGGGCUCAUAACCCAGAGGUCGCAGGUUCAAAUCCUGUCCCCGCUA